UUUUCGGGCUCUCCCACUCACGCAGCCCACCUCUUUUUUUCCCCCUCUUCCUCAGGGCCUCUCUCCUCUCUCUAAUCUCCACCCUCUCCACAACCCACCCUCUCCUUCGCCGCACUCACUUCGGCCGCCGCUGACGCCGCCGCACUCACUUCGACCGCCGCCGACGCCGCUACACUCACCUCGUCCGCGGCACUCAUCUCGGCCACGGUCGUCGUCGCUGUCCGGAGAGGCGCCGUACUCAUCUCGGCCACGGUCGCCGCCGCUGUUCGGAGAGGCGCCGCACUCAUCUCGGCCACGGUCGCCGCCGCUGUCCGGAGAGGCACUGCACUCAUCUUGGCCACGGUCGCCGCCGCUGUCCAGAGAGGCGCCGCACUCUUCUCGGCCACGGUCGCCACCGCCGGCCACGGUCGUACCCUGCGAUGGCCGGAGAGGCACCGCACUCUUUUCCUCCUCCAACAGCUUGAGCCACUUCAACUAGGGUGAUCUACCAGCAAAAGGCUAGGUUGGUUGAUGCAUUUGGUGAUUAUUUCUAUUGAUCAAGGCUAAUCUUGCGCUUCUACUCUUUGAUGAUAACUUGUUGCAACAUCUAAACUAAAUUUUAUUUUUAGAAAUAGUGAAGAUUAGAAUUAAAGAAAAAAAAAUGGAGUAGAUGGGGGGCAUGUGGGAGAAAUAAUUUCUUUCCUAAGCAGCAGAAGCAGAGCAAUUUAUGUAUGCUAUUUGUAGCUAAGGUAGAUAAAGCUAUUACUUCAUAGAGAGUUGGUGUUGGAAUAUAAUUUAAAUAUUAAUUCUUGAUGAAUUUUUUGUUGUUGGAAUAUAAUUUCUUGUUGGUUUGUGGUGUUUGUUUCUUACUUGUUGUUAUGUUUGUUUGAUUAUACGCUCUCGUUUUAUAUUCUUUCGAUGGAUUUAUGUGGGUAAUAGCUAGCUUGGAAAUACUGUUUUGAAACUUGAUAGGUUUGAGGAAUGAAAAGGUAUUAGGUAAAGAAAAAUUGAGCCUUUUGUGUUCUGUUGAGUAGUUUAUUAUGUAGGAGUCCAUAGCUGUGAAUGUGGCCAAGCAAAAUGAGUCGCGCUAAUUAAUCACACUUUGUAUUGGACUUGCACACUUGCACAUAUAAUUGCUUUGUUAGUGUUAAUAGAAUGAACUCAGAGAUAUCAAAUGCAAAGUUCAAUUUACAUGCAUAGUUUUAAAGGUUUUGUAGGAAAUUACAUGUUUAUGCAUAGUUCAAUUUAUAUGCUUUUUUCUAUAAUGUACUCAUGCGCAGAAAGCGAUCCAAAAAAACAAUCACGGGCAAAAUGGACGGAUAUGCAUAGAGCUUAUUUAGUAGAACUUUUGCAAGAACAUAAUAAAGAUAAAUGGAGAGGUCAAAAUGGAUGGAAUAAAGAGGGAUGGCGCAGUAUACAUAAGGCGAUGAUUACUAAGUUUUCUCAUUCAAAUUAUACAUUAGAACAAGUAAAAGAUCAGGAGCAACAAUUAAAGAAGCAAUUUAAAGCUGUGAAGAACUUAGUAGAGAUGAGUGGCUUUGGUUGGGAUGCCGACAAGAAAAUGGUUUCUGCUCCAUCAGAAGUUUGGGAACCGUUGAUUAAUGUGAGUAUCACUUUAUAAGCAUUGAUUCUUUAACUCUAUUUUUUUUUCAAUUUUAACAGUAAUUUUUUUAUUUUAUGAAGACUAACAAAGAACUUAGAAAAUAGCACAACAAGCCAUUUCCAUGGUAUGAAGCACUAUAUGACAUUUAUGAAGGUAUGGCCUAGACACAUUUUAUUUAUAUUUUUAAUAAUUAAUAUUGAGAUGUAUUUCAUAUUUGUAUAUUAAAGGCACAUAUGCAGAAGGCAAACGUGCUCGUGGAUGUGAGUAUUAUAGUAAUCACUCUAGAGGUUCAUCAUCGACCUCCCAGCCGGAGUCUCCAUUAGCCACGAUUCCAGGUGUCAGAGAUAAUUUUGAUGAACAUGUUGAAGAGACUCAGGAAGUCAAUCCGUCAGCUCAAAUACCCUCGCCAAGUGACCUACCUCACCCAGUUCAAGUGCCUCCACCAUCACAAUCACAAACGCAAGCUCAAGAAGAAGCUAGGACUACAUCAAGUUAUAAAAAAAGAAAAAUGAGAAAAGAAAAUAUCGAUAAAAUGGAAGAUUAUCUGAUUGUGAAGGAGAGAGGUGACGAUAAACUUGCUAAAGCUAUUGUCACUGCAGCAGAGGUACAAACAAGAAGUUAUCAUGAUGAUAAAUAUUCCGUUGAUAAAUGUAUGAAAGUGUUUUAUGCAUUGCCUGAUCCAUGGACCGCGGACGAGGUAUUUAAAGCUUCAAGAGUGUUCCAAAGAAAGAAAAAAAAUCGUGAGGCUUGGCUUUCAUUGAAGGAUGAACAUAGGGCUUAUUGGAUAAAAAAGGCAUGGGAAGAAGGAAUUUAGAGUUAAACCUUAAGGUUGUUGCUUAGUUUCUUUAUUAUGCUUUUUUAUUAGAUUUCUUUCAUUUGUUUGUCAUGUUAAACCUUACCGUUGACAUUUGUUGGUAUAUUGAACUUUAUAGUCUAUUUAGCAAGUUGGUAUCUUUAAUGCUAAAUAGAUUUUUGUUGGUAUCUAGAUGUUUGUUGGCUUAUUUCAUGUAAUGCUAAACUUCAUGGAUGAUAUUUCUUGUU
Molecule: RNA transcript, 2623 nt
Organism: Ananas comosus (pineapple)
Lineage: Eukaryota; Viridiplantae; Streptophyta; Magnoliopsida; Poales; Bromeliaceae
Exons: 2
Source: RefSeq, a predicted model, not a curated record